GUCUACGGCCAUGCCACCCUGAACAUGCCUGAUCUAGUCUGAUCUCGGAAGCUAAAUAGGGUCUGGCCUAGUAGGUACUUGGAUGGGAGACCACCUAGGAAGACUAGGUGCUGUAGGCU
This is a ribosomal RNA of Pteropus vampyrus (large flying fox), 119 nucleotides long. The record is from Ensembl. NCBI's taxonomy places the organism in Eukaryota, Metazoa, Chordata, Mammalia, Chiroptera, Pteropodidae.